This is a non-coding RNA of Podarcis lilfordi (Lilford's wall lizard), 75 nucleotides long. The record is from the annotation of a GenBank genome assembly. Lineage: Eukaryota; Metazoa; Chordata; Lepidosauria; Squamata; Lacertidae.
UUGUUGAUAGCUCAGCUGGUAGAGCAUGAUACUCUUAAUCUCAGGGUUGUGGGUUUGAGUCCCCCAUUGGACAAA